RNAcentral lists this long non-coding RNA (302 nucleotides) under Elaeis guineensis (African oil palm). Its description in RNAcentral is "long non-coding RNA (EGUI_LNC068778)". The record is from RNAcentral. Lineage: Eukaryota; Viridiplantae; Streptophyta; Magnoliopsida; Arecales; Arecaceae.
AGGUCGAUUGUUGUCUUCAUCGAAUAGUCCUCUGCAACCAUUCGACUGAAGCCCUGUUCGUCAAUAGUGGCUCGAUGACCCCUGCACAUCAUUAUUGAUGACUCCUCAUUAGUCGAUCACUCAGACAUCAUUGAACCCAUCCUAACUACGGUACAAAGCGACCGACCCCUAGUUGUCACGAACUAGUCCUCACCUCUAUAGUACUCAAAUUGGCAAUUUCAUUCAAAAUGUGGCACCUGCCAGGCAACAGCUGUCGUUGGACUGAUAAGGCAACUGUAAGUGCCCUAUUUCGAAAGUAUUGA